RNAcentral lists this transfer RNA (95 nucleotides) under Deltaproteobacteria bacterium. RNAcentral's name for it is "tRNA-Sec". It matches the Rfam family "Selenocysteine transfer RNA". Lineage: Bacteria; Pseudomonadati; Myxococcota; Myxococcia. RNAcentral also lists the same sequence under 1 other name. The record is from RNAcentral.
GGAGGAGGAUGGGGCCCGGUGGCCUCCCCGGUCUUCAAAACCGCGUGGUCCCGGCUUGCCGGGACGGAGGGUUCGACUCCCUUCCUUCUCCGCCA